RNAcentral lists this non-coding RNA (176 nucleotides) under Lactobacillus amylolyticus. RNAcentral describes it as "Lysine sequence". It matches the Rfam family "Lysine riboswitch aptamer". From Rfam's summary of the family: Riboswitches are metabolite binding domains within certain messenger RNAs that serve as precision sensors for their corresponding targets. Allosteric rearrangement of mRNA structure is mediated by ligand binding, and this results in modulation of gene expression. Lineage: Bacteria; Bacillati; Bacillota; Bacilli; Lactobacillales; Lactobacillaceae. The record is from RNAcentral.
CAAUGCAAUAGAGGUUGCGGUAAUCACAAAAUUAAUGUGAACUCACGAAGGUUUUGAUCCUUAAUUUUAGGUUUAUCGCCGAAACAGAAUUGUUUUUCGUGAAACAUUUUUGUUGGGCUGCAGGAACAUAUCCUGUAGACUGUCCUGGUUCGUCCCCAGGGAGCGCUAUAUGAUUU